Molecule: ribosomal RNA, 2902 nt
Filed under: Escherichia coli HVH 228 (4-7787030)
Lineage: Bacteria; Pseudomonadati; Pseudomonadota; Gammaproteobacteria; Enterobacterales; Enterobacteriaceae
Description: bacterial LSU rRNA
Rfam family: Bacterial large subunit ribosomal RNA
Source: RNAcentral
UUAAGCGACUAAGCGUACACGGUGGAUGCCCUGGCAGUCAGAGGCGAUGAAGGACGUGCUAAUCUGCGAUAAGCGUCGGUGAGGUGAUAUGAACCGUUAUAACCGGCGAUUUCCGAAUGGGGAAACCCAGUGUGUUUCGACACACUAUCAUUAACUGAAUCCAUAGGUUAAUGAGGCGAACCGGGGGAACUGAAACAUCUAAGUACCCCGAGGAAAAGAAAUCAACCGAGAUUCCCCCAGUAGCGGCGAGCGAACGGGGAGGAGCCCAGAGCCUGAAUCAGUGUGUGUGUUAGUGGAAGCGUCUGGAAAGGCGCGCGAUACAGGGUGACAGCCCCGUACACAAAAAUGCACAUGCUGUGAGCUCGAUGAGUAGGGCGGGACACGUGGUAUCCUGUCUGAAUAUGGGGGGACCAUCCUCCAAGGCUAAAUACUCCUGACUGACCGAUAGUGAACCAGUACCGUGAGGGAAAGGCGAAAAGAACCCCGGCGAGGGGAGUGAAAAAGAACCUGAAACCGUGUACGUACAAGCAGUGGGAGCCUCUUAAUGGGGUGACUGCGUACCUUUUGUAUAAUGGGUCAGCGACUUAUAUUCUGUAGCAAGGUUAACCGAAUAGGGGAGCCGAAGGGAAACCGAGUCUUAACUGGGCGUUAAGUUGCAGGGUAUAGACCCGAAACCCGGUGAUCUAGCCAUGGGCAGGUUGAAGGUUGGGUAACACUAACUGGAGGACCGAACCGACUAAUGUUGAAAAAUUAGCGGAUGACUUGUGGCUGGGGGUGAAAGGCCAAUCAAACCGGGAGAUAGCUGGUUCUCCCCGAAAGCUAUUUAGGUAGCGCCUCGUGAAUUCAUCUCCGGGGGUAGAGCACUGUUUCGGCAAGGGGGUCAUCCCGACUUACCAACCCGAUGCAAACUGCGAAUACCGGAGAAUGUUAUCACGGGAGACACACGGCGGGUGCUAACGUCCGUCGUGAAGAGGGAAACAACCCAGACCGCCAGCUAAGGUCCCAAAGUCAUGGUUAAGUGGGAAACGAUGUGGGAAGGCCCAGACAGCCAGGAUGUUGGCUUAGAAGCAGCCAUCAUUUAAAGAAAGCGUAAUAGCUCACUGGUCGAGUCGGCCUGCGCGGAAGAUGUAACGGGGCUAAACCAUGCACCGAAGCUGCGGCAGCGACACUAUGUGUUGUUGGGUAGGGGAGCGUUCUGUAAGCUUGUGAAGGUGGCCUGUGAGGGUUGCUGGAGGUAUCAGAAGUGCGAAUGCUGACAUAAGUAACGAUAAAGCGGGUGAAAAGCCCGCUCGCCGGAAGACCAAGGGUUCCUGUCCAACGUUAAUCGGGGCAGGGUGAGUCGACCCCUAAGGCGAGGCCGAAAGGCGUAGUCGAUGGGAAACAGGUUAAUAUUCCUGUACUUGGUGUUACUGCGAAGGGGGGACGGAGAAGGCUAUGUUGGCCGGGCGACGGUUGUCCCGGUUUAAGCGUGUAGGCUGGUUUUCCAGGCAAAUCCGGAAAACCAAGGCUGAGGCGUGAUGACGAGGCACUACGGUGCUGAAGCGACAAAUGCCCUGCUUCCAGGAAAAGCCUCUAAGCAUCAGGUAACAUCAAAUCGUACCCCAAACCGACACAGGUGGUCAGGUAGAGAAUACCAAGGCGCUUGAGAGAACUCGGGUGAAGGAACUAGGCAAAAUGGUGCCGUAACUUCGGGAGAAGGCACGCUGAUAUGUAGGUGAAGCGACUUGCUCGUGGAGCUGAAAUCAGUCGAAGAUACCAGCUGGCUGCAACUGUUUAUUAAAAACACAGCACUGUGCAAACACGAAAGUGGACGUAUACGGUGUGACGCCUGCCCGGUGCCGGAAGGUUAAUUGAUGGGGUUAGCGGCAACGCGAAGCUCUUGAUCGAAGCCCCGGUAAACGGCGGCCGUAACUAUAACGGUCCUAAGGUAGCGAAAUUCCUUGUCGGGUAAGUUCCGACCUGCACGAAUGGCGUAAUGAUGGCCAGGCUGUCUCCACCCGAGACUCAGUGAAAUUGAACUCGCUGUGAAGAUGCAGUGUACCCGCGGCAAGACGGAAAGACCCCGUGAACCUUUACUAUAGCUUGACACUGAACAUUGAGCCUUGAUGUGUAGGAUAGGUGGGAGGCUUUGAAGUGUGGACGCCAGUCUGCAUGGAGCCGACCUUGAAAUACCACCCUUUAAUGUUUGAUGUUCUAACGUGGGCCCCUAAUCGGGGUUGCGGACAGUGUCUGGUGGGUAGUUUGACUGGGGCGGUCUCCUCCUAAAGAGUAACGGAGGAGCACGAAGGUUGGCUAAUCCUGGUCGGACAUCAGGAGGUUAGUGCAAUGGCAUAAGCCAGCUUGACUGCGAGCGUGACGGCGCGAGCAGGUGCGAAAGCAGGUCAUAGUGAUCCGGUGGUUCUGAAUGGAAGGGCCAUCGCUCAACGGAUAAAAGGUACUCCGGGGAUAACAGGCUGAUACCGCCCAAGAGUUCAUAUCGACGGCGGUGUUUGGCACCUCGAUGUCGGCUCAUCACAUCCUGGGGCUGAAGUAGGUCCCAAGGGUAUGGCUGUUCGCCAUUUAAAGUGGUACGCGAGCUGGGUUUAGAACGUCGUGAGACAGUUCGGUCCCUAUCUGCCGUGGGCGCUGGAGAACUGAGGGGGGCUGCUCCUAGUACGAGAGGACCGGAGUGGACGCAUCACUGGUGUUCGGGUUGUCAUGCCAAUGGCACUGCCCGGUAGCUAAAUGCGGAAGAGAUAAGUGCUGAAAGCAUCUAAGCACGAAACUUGCCCCGAGAUGAGUUCUCCCUGAGACUUAGAGUCUCCUGAAGGAACGUUGAAGACGACGACGUUGAUAGGCCGGGUGUGUAAGCGCAGCGAUGCGUUGAGCUAACCGGUACUAAUGAACCGUGAGGCUUAACCUU